Molecule: small RNA, 264 nt
Filed under: Arabidopsis thaliana (thale cress)
Lineage: Eukaryota; Viridiplantae; Streptophyta; Magnoliopsida; Brassicales; Brassicaceae
Description: ATSL269610
Source: RNAcentral
UUAGAAGAUACAAUGACAAAGACUCAUACGGACUUCGACUACACCAUCAAAGCUUUGAGAAGCAAGAAGCAGUUGGUUAGUGUUUUGGAGUCGAAUAUGACUUGAUGGCAUGUGUAUGAGUGAGUAUAAAAACUAGAACCGCAACGGAUCUUAAAAGCCUAAAUAUUGUAUCCUUGUUAGAAGAUACAUAGACAAAGUCUCAUACGAAAUUCGGCUAAACCAUCAAAGCUUUUAGAAGCAAGAAGAAGCUUGGUUAGUGUUUCG